Molecule: unclassified non-coding RNA, 1328 nt
Filed under: Melitaea cinxia (Glanville fritillary)
Lineage: Eukaryota; Metazoa; Arthropoda; Insecta; Lepidoptera; Nymphalidae
Description: misc RNA ENSMCXG00005020905.1
Source: RNAcentral
UCACUAAGUCAUUUCAAUAAAAUUAUUUAUUUUAAAUAAAAUUGAAUUUUAAUUAAUAUUCUUCAAGAAAUACAAACAACAUAAAGCUGUCAAGUGUAAAUGUAGUUCUAUUUCGGUAUUUUAGAGUGCUUUUCAUUAUUUUCACUAAGUAUCGAUUACCCGUUUCACGAAAUUAAAAAAAAUAUACACAUCGGUGUUAGUACAUCACUAGUCGGCGAAAAGAAUCUUUUCAUUAUUGUAUAAUCUAUCGACUAUAGGUAUGUUCCAAUAGAUAAUUCACAUUGAAUUAAUAAGAAAGGCCCCAAAAGUCACAGAUUAAUAAAAAAUACAGACUAUUCUGUAACCUCUAAUUUUAAACAAUUAAAAUAACAAAAGUCUUGUGUCCAUUUUACUUUUUUUGACAAAUUAUUUUUAUAGUAUAUUCAGUAUGGUUGAUUAUAUUUUGGAAUAUAAUAAAAACAAUCUUAUCUAUGCGGAACAUUAGUAACAAUGGUCUUAGAUUUUUACAAACUUUAAGUAUGCUUUUAAUAUAUAUAAAAGGCAGUCAUUUAACUGUACUCAUCUUAAAUAUAGUGAAAAAUUAAUUGCACAAGAAUGUUCAAUUCGAUAUAUAAUUUGCCAUUUGUAUUGUAAUUUGGAUUGUUUUCAAAUAAUACGACCAUAUUUUUUUAAUAUUUUUAUCUCUAAUACCCUUCGAACCACCCUCUGCUUAGAAGAAGGAUGUGAAAAUAACUUACUUAUUAAAUUCGAGCGAGACGGCAUGUUGAUAGAGAGAGACAGCUAUAGAUUCGGUUUUAUCGAGUCGAUUAAAUUUUCGCAACGUAAUGUUUUGAACUUUUACGAAUUUGGGAGUAUGCGAUCGUGGUUUCUACUUUCGUAUUACAAACAGACAUCUCCAUUUCGUAAUAUGAAAAAACGAGAAGGAUGUACUGCGUAAGCGAGAGGGCGCUAUAUAACAUCAUGACAACUGUGAGUACGGUGAGCGAGACAGGUGUAUUGGAACUAUUGGAAGCGAGUGAGAGGGCGCUACACCAGUGGCAACGGAACAUUAAGACUGAUUUUAGAGUCGCGCUGACCAUCAGCACUGAUUUUAAGAGUUUACGGUUCACCUGAUGGUAAGUGGUUCCCGUAGCCUAUACACACCUGCAACACCAGAAACCAGAAGUGUUGCAAGCGCGUUGCCGACCCUGACCCUCCCUAGGAGUUCUGAGAGAUAGAUAAAAUAUAUGAAUUUCUAUAAAGUAUAUCUGAAUAAGCUGAGCGGAUUUCUAGUGUCGCGCUCAGCGGAAGUCGUUAAUUAACGCACUGCGCAUUUCUUCGCAUCUGUG